Molecule: RNA transcript, 2405 nt
Organism: Quercus robur (English oak)
Lineage: Eukaryota; Viridiplantae; Streptophyta; Magnoliopsida; Fagales; Fagaceae
Gene name: cysteine proteinase inhibitor 12-like
Exons: 5
Source: RefSeq, a predicted model, not a curated record
UACAUAUCUUCUUGUUGUGUUGUGUUGUGUGGGCACAGAAUUAAGAAAGAAAGAAAGAAAGAAAGAAAGAGGUUUGACGAUGAAGAAGUUGAUCUCAGUGAGUGUGUUGCCUGGCCUUCUGGUGUUGUUGUUGCUUUGUUCGGUGUGUGAAUUGGGUCACUGUCUCGAACGCUCUUCUGUUUUAAAGAUGAGGCUUGGAGGGAUUCACGACUGCAAAGGCUCUCAGAACAGCGCCGAGAUCGACAGCCUCGCUCGUUUUGCUGUCCAAGAACACAACAAGAAAGCGAAUUCUCUUCUUGAGUUUGCAAGGGUAUUGAAGGCCAAAGAACAGGUGGUUGCUGGUAAGAUGUACCAUUUGACUCUGGAAGUGAUUGAUGCUGGUAAGAAGAAGAUAUACGAAGCUAAAGUCUGGGUGAAGCCAUGGAUGAACUUCAAGGAGUUGCAGGAAUUUAAGCAUGCCCAUGAUGACCCUUCCUUUUCCCAGUCAGACCUAGGUGCUGAACGUGAUGGCCAUGAACCAGGAUGGAAAGCAGUGCCAACUAAUGAUCCUGAGGUUCAAGAUGCAGCAAAUCAUGCCGUUAAGUCCAUCCAGAAGAGAUCAAACUCCUUGUCUCCCUAUGAACUUCUAGUGGUCCUUCUAGCUAAGGCCAAGGUUGGCAUUUUGUACUACUAUCUCUCUUAUCUUGAUUUCUUGCUAUAUAUACAGAUGGAGCCAAGUUCUUCCCAACCCCUGCUUUUCAACCCCUUCUUUUCAAGGAUUUUGCUAAGGCCAAGGUUGGCCUUUUGUACUACUAAAUCCCCCUCUCCAUAGCAAAGCUGCUGGCCAUGACACUACAAAAAACUUCACUUGUUUCGUCCCUCUAUUUUCGAGGGUCUACUAAAAAGGGUCCAUACAAACACUGAAAUAGACAUAAGCGAAUGAAUGAGUAUGGCUAGCUUUAUUUCAAGGGUCAUUAAAACCCUUGAAACAAGUCAAUAACUCCCGUUUUAAAAAAAUGCAACCACUUUUAGCAAGCAUUCCCGCUAGAGUUUUGGGUCCAAAAUAUUUUUCCGCACCACUUUUACGCGACCCUCGUAAUAAAGAUAUUCCAAAAUUUUCAAUCCUCGAAAUAAAGCCCAUAAUUUGAAAAAUAAAAGGAGAAAGCCAUUUCAUUCAGUCAAAGGAGCGGUGGUCGACGACUUAGCUCCGGCGACUAUCUGAGGCACAGUGGUCGACGAUAUCAUCUCCGAUGACGAACUGAGGGCACGGUGGUCGGAAAUAUCAUCUCCUCCACUUCUUCGUUCGAUUACAGGAUUUAUGCUGACUGGAUCAAUAUUCAUGGUUGGUGGCAAUAAUGCUCAGCUUAAGUUUCUGUAUAACUGAUGCUGGUGCUGCCUAAGUUGCUGCAUAAUUGCUGGGCUGUUGUUGGAGGUGUGAUAGAUGCUUUGAUUGAUUUGGUUGCCUCUCCAUAGCAAAGCUGCUGGUGAGGGAAGUCAAAAGCUUGCCUUAGGAUGAUCUAGCCAUUUAGGGUUGCUAAGUCUCCUGUUGGCUACCUACCUGCAAAAGCAGAAUCUCCAGAGACUGAUUCUUAAACAAUUCAUGUUCAAAGAAAGAACAAUGAUUGUAAAUCUAUUUUUCAUAAGCAAUUCUUCAAAAUCUGGGAGUCUUGAAUUAUUAAAGGAAUCACCAUCAAAUUUCCACUUGAAUAUAGUCAAUGGAGGCUUAGCUGAAUCGUUUAUUAUUUCAGCAUGACAAUGGACAAUUAAUUUGUUUGAUGUGCUGAAAUAGGGAAGCUUAGUUUGUUGGAAUUUUGGAUUAUUGAGAGAAUUAGCUUGUAUUAUAACUGCCACAAGCAAGGCUCUGUUGAAUGAUAUCUAAAAGGUGUGUUGGAACUUCUUGCUUUCCAAAUGCACUGGAGAAUGAAGGGGGGAAAAAAAUCUAGAAGAAGGCAGUGGUAUAUGAGGCCAUGGGUGCUGUGUGCUAUGGUUUUUAGGUAGCUUAUAUGUGAAGUUUUAGAUGCAGGUCUGGUGUUGUCUACUAUAAGCGUUUGGAUGAAGUUUGUAAUGUCUUCUUAUCUGUCCAUGAAAGUGCUAGCAAGACCUUUGCCCUAUUUUUGGAAGGAGGGUGAUGAUGGGAGAGCUUUCUAAACAUUAGUCUUGUCUGCUCUUCUCUGAUUUUCAAGUUUCAUCCUUGAUGCAAGACUUUGAACCUUUCUUGUCUCUGGUGAGCUAAAAAUUCUGAACAUGAAGUAUGUGCUAGAUCAGUGAAGACUCCUUCAGUUUGGUCGGCCAACAGUUGCAGAUGUUUUCUUCCCUAGAAUCUCGUGUUGAAUCUCACUCCCAUUAAAUUACUCUAAUCACAAAUACAUGGUCACACUUUACCUAUAGUUUUGGUUUUCUAAAUAAUUCUGAACAGCCUUUGCAAU